GCCAGGCCCGGUGGCGCGUGCCUGUAGUCCCAGCUACUCGGGAGGCUGAGGUGGGAGGAUUGCUUGAGCCCAGGAGUUCUGGGCUGUAGUGCGCUAUGCCAAUCGUUGUCCGCACUAAGUUCGGCAUCAAUAUGGUGACCUCCCAGGAGUGGGGGACCACCAGGUUGCCUAAGGAGGGGUGAACCGGCCCAGGUCAGAAACAGAGCAGGUCAAAACUCCUGUGCUGAUCAGUAGUGAGAUCGCGCCAGUGAAUAGCCACUGCACUCCAGCCUGGGCAACAUAGCAAGAUCCCGUCUCU
RNAcentral lists this signal recognition particle RNA (298 nucleotides) under Cebus imitator (Panamanian white-faced capuchin). RNAcentral's name for it is "Metazoan signal recognition particle RNA (ENSCCAG00000013962.1)". It matches the Rfam family "Metazoan signal recognition particle RNA". From Rfam's summary of the family: The signal recognition particle (SRP) is a universally conserved ribonucleoprotein. It is involved in the co-translational targeting of proteins to membranes. The record is from RNAcentral. Lineage: Eukaryota; Metazoa; Chordata; Mammalia; Primates; Cebidae.